GCAGUCGACGGACUUAACCGAAAUAUUUAUAUUUUGGAGCGGUUAGUGGCGGACUGGUGAGUAACGCGUAAGCAAUCUGCCUAUUAGAGGGGAAUAACAGUGAGAAAUCACUGCUAAUACCGCAUAUGCCAUGAACAUCGCAUGAUGAAAAUGGGAAAGGAGUAAUCCGCUAAUAGAUGAGCUUGCGUCUGAUUAACUAGUUGGUGUGGUAAUGGCAUACCAAGGUAACGAUCAGUAGCCGGACUGAGAGGUUGAACGGCCACAUUGGGACUGAGAUACGGCCCAGACUCCUACGGGAGGCAGCAGUCGGGAAUAUUGCGCAAUGGAGGAAACUCUGACGCAGUGACGCCGCGUAUAGGAUGAAGGUUUUCGGAUUGUAAACUAUUGUCAUUAGGGAAGAUAAAAGACAGUACCUAAGGAGGAAGCUCCGGCUAACUACGUGCCAGCAGCCGCGGUAAUACGUAGGGAGCAAGCGUUAUCCGGAUUUAUUGGGUGUAAAGGGUGCGUAGACGGGAGAUUAAGUUAGUUGUGAAAGCCCUUGGCUUAACUGAGGAAUUGCACUAAAACUGGUUUUCUUGAGUGCAGGAGAGGUAAGUGGAAUUCCUAGUGUAGCGGUGAAAUGCGUA
Molecule: ribosomal RNA, 626 nt
Filed under: uncultured bacterium
Lineage: Bacteria
Description: bacterial SSU rRNA
Rfam family: Bacterial small subunit ribosomal RNA
Source: RNAcentral